RNAcentral lists this ribosomal RNA (405 nucleotides) under uncultured bacterium. RNAcentral describes it as "bacterial SSU rRNA". It matches the Rfam family "Bacterial small subunit ribosomal RNA", at positions 29 to 420 of the family's 1533-position model. The record is from RNAcentral.
AACGAACGUUGGCGGCGCGCCUAACACAUGCAAGUCGAGCGAGAAGGAAGCAAUUCCUGUAAAGCGGCGCACGGGUGAGUAACACGUAGGUAAUCUACCUCGAAGUGGUGGAUAACCUUCCGAAAGGAGGGCUAAUACAGCAUGAGACCACGGUUUCGAAAGAGAUUGAGGUCAAAGCGGGCCACUAUACAUAAGCUCGCGCUUCGAGAUGAGCCUGCGGCCCAUCAUGGUAGUUGGUAGGGUAAUGGCCUACCAAGCCGAAGACGGGUAGCUGGUCUGAGAGGAUGAUCAGCCACACUGGAACUGAGACACGGUCCAGACUCCUACGGGAGGCAGCAGUGGGGAAUCUUGCGCAAUGGGCGAAAGCCUGACGCAGCGACGCCGCGUGAGUGAUGAAGGCCUCGG